UGGGGAAUAUUGCACAAUGGGGGAAACCCUGAUGCAGCGACGCCGCGUGGAGGAAGAAGGUCUUCGGAUUGUAAACUCCUGUUGUUGGGGAAGAUAAUGACGGUACCCAAUAAGGAAGUGACGGCUAACUACGUGCCAGCAGCCGCGGUAAAACGUAGGUCACAAGCGUUGUCCGGAAUUACUGGGUGUAAAGGGAGCGCAGGCGGGAAGACAAGUUGGAAGUGAAAUCUAUGGGCUCAACCCAUAAACUGCUUUCAAAACUGUUUUUCUUGAGUAGUGCAGAGGUAGGCGGAAUUCCCGGUGUAGCGGUGGAAUGCGUAGAUAUCGGGAGGAACACCAGUGGCGAAGGCGGCCUACUGGGCACCAACUGACGCUGAGGCUCGAAAGUGUGGGUAGCAAACAGGAUUAGAUACCCUGGUAGUCCACACCGUAAACGAUGAUUACUAGGUGUUGGAGGAUUGACCCCUUCAGUGCCGCAGUUAACACAAUAAGUAAUCCACCUGGGGAGUACGACCGCAAGGUUGAAACUCAAAGGAAUUGACGGGGGCCCGCACAAGCAGUGGAGUAUGUGGUUUAAUUCGACGCAACGCGAAGAACCUUACCAAGUCUUGACAUCCCUUGACGAUGCUGGAAACAGUAUUUCUCUUCGGAGCAAGGAGACAGGUGGUGCAUGGUUGUCGUCAGCUCGUGUCGUGAGAUGUUGGGUUAAGUCCCGCAACGAGCGCAACCCUUAUGGUCAGUUACUACGCAAGAGGACUCUGGCCAGACUGCCGUUGACAAAACGGAGGAAGGUGGGGAUGACGUCAAAUCAUCAUGCCCUUUAUGACUUGGGCUACACACGUACUACAAUGGCGUUAAACAAAGAGAAGCAAGACCGCGAGGUGGAGCAAAACUCAGAAACAACGUCCCAGUUCGGACUGCAGGCUGCAACUCGCCUGCACGAAGUCGGAAUUGCUAGUAAUCGUGGAUCAGCAUGCCACGGUGAAUACGUUCCC
RNAcentral lists this ribosomal RNA (995 nucleotides) under uncultured bacterium. RNAcentral describes it as "bacterial SSU rRNA". It matches the Rfam family "Bacterial small subunit ribosomal RNA", at positions 355 to 1375 of the family's 1533-position model. The record is from RNAcentral.